This 816-nucleotide unclassified non-coding RNA is filed under the name Hevea brasiliensis (rubber tree). The record is from RNAcentral. Lineage: Eukaryota; Viridiplantae; Streptophyta; Magnoliopsida; Malpighiales; Euphorbiaceae.
CCUCCUCCUCCUCCUCCUCCUUCUUCUUCUUCUUCUUUCUUCUCUCUCAAACCCAAAUCUUCCAUUUCUUUUCUGUCCAAUUCUGAUGGCUUCUUCUUCUUAUUCUUUGCUUUUCUUGUUGCUAUUAAUGUUAUCAAGGCGCUGUUACGGUUUUGGCACUUUCGGCUUCGAUAUUCACCACCGGUAUUCGGAUCCGGUCAAGGGGAUUUUAGCCCUUGAUGACUUGCCAGACAAGGGUAGUCUCCAGUAUUAUGCUACUAUGGCUCACCGUGACCGAUUAAUCCAUGGCCGUCGACUUGCUACUUCUGAUGAUUCGACGCCACUCACUUUCUUUGAUGGCAACCAAACUUAUGGGAUCAGUUCUCUGGGAUUUUUAUAUUACGCUAAUGUUUCAGUUGGGACGCCAAGUUUAUCAUUUCUUGUAGCACUAGACACUGGCAGUGAUCUCUUCUGGUUACCAUGUGAUUCUUGUAGAAGUUGCUUCCAUCGCUUACAGAACCCAUCCGGGGAGGAUAUACCCCUUAAUGUGUACAGUAUUAAUGAAUCAUCAACAGGCAAAAAGGUCCCCUGGAACUCCUCCUUGUGUUCGCAACAAAACCGAUGCUUCUUUGCUCAAAGUGAUUGUUGUUAUCAAGCGUUAUAUCUUUCUGAAAACACCUUAUCAAGUGGGUUCUUGGUUGAGGAUUUAUUGCAUUUAACUACAGAUGACACUCAACAGAAAGCUCACAACGCAACCAUCACAUUUGGUUGUGGUGAAAGGCAAACAGGUGCAUUUUCGGACGGUGCCGCUCCCAAUGGCUUAUUUGGGCUUGGUAU